Molecule: non-coding RNA, 202 nt
Organism: Pelobates cultripes (western spadefoot toad)
Lineage: Eukaryota; Metazoa; Chordata; Amphibia; Anura; Pelobatidae
Source: the annotation of a GenBank genome assembly
AGAAAAUCCAAAAAUAAUCAGAACCACCCUUAUAGUAUCCAACUCACAUGCACCAGAGCCUAUGCAACCUGCUAAUUUAAAGACUGAAAAAGAGAGAGUAGACACCACUAAUAGAAAUAUCUUCUCUCUGGAAGGAACACCACGAUACACAGAAGAGAAGGAGAGAACAGGGAAAUCACAUUAGUGUGAUACUGUAUAACAC